This 254-nucleotide ribosomal RNA is filed under the name uncultured bacterium. Its description in RNAcentral is "partial 16S ribosomal RNA". It matches the Rfam family "Bacterial small subunit ribosomal RNA", at positions 524 to 777 of the family's 1533-position model. The record is from RNAcentral.
UACGGAGGGGGCUAGCGUUGUUCGGAAUUACUGGGCGUAAAGCGCACGUAGGCGGCUUCUUAAGUCAGGGGUGAAAUCCUGGAGCUCAACUCCAGAACUGCCUUUGAUACUGAGUAGCUUGAGUCCGGGAGAGGUGAGUGGAACUGCGAGUGUAGAGGUGAAAUUCGUAGAUAUUCGCAAGAACACCAGUGGCGAAGGCGGCUCACUGGCCCGGUACUGACGCUGAGGAGCGAAAGCUGGGGGAGCAAACAGGG